Molecule: non-coding RNA, 801 nt
Organism: Pipistrellus kuhlii (Kuhl's pipistrelle)
Lineage: Eukaryota; Metazoa; Chordata; Mammalia; Chiroptera; Vespertilionidae
Source: the annotation of a RefSeq genome assembly
GACUUCCUCAAACCUAGCAUCACACUCAGAUGCUGAGUUCAGAGGCCUGGAACCCCAAUCUUUGCUUUAACUAUGAGAUCAGUCACAGGAAUAACUAUCCUCCUAACUUUGGGUAUUAUGGGUGAUGCUAAGUCCACCCAGCCAGCGGCAAUGGAGAGUACUGCAGAAGAAACUGUGCGUCUGCCCUGUAACCACUCCACAAUCAGUGGAAGUGAGUACAUACAUUGGUAUCGACAGAUUCCCCACCAGGGUCCAGAGUAUGUGAUUCAUGGUUUAAAAGGCACUGACACCAAAGGAACGUUCACUCUGAUCGUCGCAACAGACAGAAAAUCCAGUACCUUGGUCGUGCCCCACGUCACUCUGAGAGACUCCGCUGUGUACUACUGCAUCGUGAGAGAGGCACAGUGGCACGUGUGGGGCUGCACCUGUGCAAUAUCUCCCUGGCGGAAGGAAAGCAUCAGCAGCAUCUAAAGAGCCACUGCACAAGAAAGAGCACAAACCCAAUGGAAGGAGAAGAAGAAGAAAAGAAGAAAAAAAGGAAAAGAAGUAAAGAGAAGACUGAGAAAAUCAAGGAGGAAAGAAUUGAAAGGAGCCAAGAAGAUGAGGAAGAAGCGUUUACUUUGAAAAGACAAAAAGCUUGAAGGAUAUAGAAAUUCACAGUUGUGAACCUGCAAUGGAGGGGAAAGGAAAUGAGAAUUUGCCACGACUCUGUUUUAAUCAAAUGUUGCUUCCUAAGUAGUCUCACUAAAACAGCGAACAACCAUUUGGUUGUCCUAAAGACUUUUUUUCUUUGGAACCAGU